Molecule: ribosomal RNA, 314 nt
Filed under: uncultured bacterium
Lineage: Bacteria
Description: bacterial SSU rRNA
Rfam family: Bacterial small subunit ribosomal RNA
Source: RNAcentral
CCUAACACAUGCAAGUCGAACGGUAACAGGAAGAAGCUUGCUUCUUUGCUGACGAGUGGCGGACGGGUGAGUAAUGUCUGGGAAACUGCCUGAUGGAGGGGGAUAACUACUGGAAACGGUAGCUAAUACCGCAUAACGUCGCAAGACCAAAGAGGGGGACCUUCGGGCCUCUUGCCAUCGGAUGUGCCCAGAUGGGAUUAGCUAGUAGGUGGGGUAACGGCUCACCUAGGCGACGAUCCCUAGCUGGUCUGAGAGGAUGACCAGCCACACUGGAACUGAGACACGGUCCAGACUCCUACGGGAGGCAGCAGUGG